This 30-nucleotide non-coding RNA is filed under the name Mus musculus (house mouse). Lineage: Eukaryota; Metazoa; Chordata; Mammalia; Rodentia; Muridae. The record is from RNAcentral.
UGUAUUUUGUGCUGAGAUUUCCAUAUUGUU